Molecule: ribosomal RNA, 1007 nt
Filed under: Bacillus halotolerans
Lineage: Bacteria; Bacillati; Bacillota; Bacilli; Caryophanales; Bacillaceae
Description: bacterial SSU rRNA
Rfam family: Bacterial small subunit ribosomal RNA
Source: RNAcentral
CAGUCGAGCGGACAGAUGGGAGCUUGCUCCCUGAUGUUAGCGGCGGACGGGUGAGUAACACGUGGGUAACCUGCCUGUAAGACUGGGAUAACUCCGGGAAACCGGGGCUAAUACCGGAUGCUUGUUUGAACCGCAUGGUUCAAACAUAAAAGGUGGCUUCGGCUACCACUUACAGAUGGACCCGCGGCGCAUUAGCUAGUUGGUGAGGUAACGGCUCACCAAGGCAACGAUGCGUAGCCGACCUGAGAGGGUGAUCGGCCACACUGGGACUGAGACACGGCCCAGACUCCUACGGGAGGCAGCAGUAGGGAAUCUUCCGCAAUGGACGAAAGUCUGACGGAGCAACGCCGCGUGAGUGAUGAAGGUUUUCGGAUCGUAAAGCUCUGUUGUUAGGGAAGAACAAGUACCGUUCGAAUAGGGCGGUACCUUGACGGUACCUAACCAGAAAGCCACGGCUAACUACGUGCCAGCAGCCGCGGUAAUACGUAGGUGGCAAGCGUUGUCCGGAAUUAUUGGGCGUAAAGGGCUCGCAGGCGGUUUCUUAAGUCUGAUGUGAAAGCCCCCGGCUCAACCGGGGAGGGUCAUUGGAAACUGGGGAACUUGAGUGCAGAAGAGGAGAGUGGAAUUCCACGUGUAGCGGUGAAAUGCGUAGAGAUGUGGAGGAACACCAGUGGCGAAGGCGACUCUCUGGUCUGUAACUGACGCUGAGGAGCGAAAGCGUGGGGAGCGAACAGGAUUAGAUACCCUGGUAGUCCACGCCGUAAACGAUGAGUGCUAAGUGUUAGGGGGUUUCCGCCCCUUAGUGCUGCAGCUAACGCAUUAAGCACUCCGCCUGGGGAGUACGGUCGCAAGACUGAAACUCAAAGGAAUUGACGGGGGCCCGCACAAGCGGUGGGAGCAUGUGGUUUUAAUUCGAAAGCAACGCGAAAAAACCUUUACCAGGGCCUUGGACAUCCUUCUGACAAAUCCUAAAAGAAAAGAACGUCCCCCUUCCGGGGGCAAAAUUG